Long non-coding RNA from Zophobas morio, 374 nucleotides. RefSeq lists it as uncharacterized. Lineage: Eukaryota; Metazoa; Arthropoda; Insecta; Coleoptera; Tenebrionidae. The record is from RefSeq and is a predicted model, not a curated record. The transcript has 2 exons.
GUUGGGUUUGGUGCGCUUAUGGAGGUCUGUAAAAGUCAAAUUAAAUUUAGUGCUUUCUGACUUGAAGCCUGUGAAAUCAACGUGCAGCUUUUGGGUUGAUAGAAUCGUAUACUGGCUAACUGCUUUCAUACCCCGAAGCUCUAUGGGUUUCGCCAAAAAAAAAAAUUUAUAACAUGCGGGCUUCAUAACGUCUAAGAGGAGAGAUAGAUGUUGGAAGCAAUCUGAACUUUAAAAAAUUUCUUUUUUAAAAACUUUUACUAAACAACUAAUGGUUGAAAACGUACACCUACGCAACAAGCUUUCAUUUAUAAGCUCUUGAAAAAUUCCUUCAAAAAUAGGAAAUAGCAAUGAUGACUUUCUUUACCGGAUUAAAA